GAAACGCGAUAGUUAAUGUGAAUUGCAGAAUUCAGUGAAUCAUCGAGUCUUUGAACGCACAUUGCGCCCAUAGGUAUUCCUUUGGGCAUGUCUGUUUGAGCGUCAUUACAACCCUCAGCUAACCGCUGGUUUUGAACCUGAACGGGUGACACCGCGCCGGUUUUAAAGUUGUAAGCUCCGCUGGCCGCUCUGCCCAACCAGAACAUAGUAAGCACUACUUGUCCGGGUGAAGCUGAACGGUACGGCCUGAACAAAACCUACCCACUCUCAAGGUUUGACCUCAGAUCAGACAAGGAUACCCGCUGAACUUAAGC
RNAcentral lists this unclassified non-coding RNA (314 nucleotides) under plant metagenome. RNAcentral describes it as "partial contains 5.8S ribosomal RNA, internal transcribed spacer 2, and large subunit ribosomal RNA". The stretch from base 1 to 105 matches the Rfam family "5.8S ribosomal RNA", at positions 50 to 154 of the family's 154-position model. The record is from RNAcentral.